Molecule: small nuclear RNA, 106 nt
Organism: Hyaena hyaena (striped hyena)
Lineage: Eukaryota; Metazoa; Chordata; Mammalia; Carnivora; Hyaenidae
Source: RefSeq, a predicted model, not a curated record
GUGCUGUCUUUGGCAGUACAUAUAUUAAGAUUAUAAUGAUACAGAGAAGAUUAGCAUGUCCCCAUGCAAGGAUGACACAAAAUUCAUGGAGCAUUCUACAGUUAAA